RNAcentral lists this ribosomal RNA (477 nucleotides) under Triticum aestivum (bread wheat). Its description in RNAcentral is "partial small subunit ribosomal RNA". The record is from RNAcentral. Lineage: Eukaryota; Viridiplantae; Streptophyta; Magnoliopsida; Poales; Poaceae.
AUGUCCAACAUCUAUGCCGGUGCAUCAACACUUGCAGGGAAGUACUGUGACAACUAUUCGAUCAAGGCAGACCCAAGGAAUUCUAUUCUCAGUGGGUUCGGAUGGCUGCAAGAGACAGUGUCAACACCUGGAGAAACAUAUACCAUGUUGAGGAUGAACGCACGCCUCUUCUUUCAAUUGCAUGACUUGUUGGUCAAAAGGAAUGGCUUCAAAUCAACCUGUUUCGUGAGCAGUUAUGAGGCGCUUGCAAUGUUCUUGUGGACUUUAGGGGGUUGCGAGUCUAAUAGGAGAACACAAAAUCGUUUCAAGCAUUCAGGAGAUACAGUCCACCGGAAGUUUCAUGAGGUUUUACUCUGUGUGAUUAAGAUGGUAGCAGAUUACCUGAAACCUAAGGACCCAAAUUUAGUAGUGUGCACCCAAGGAUUCAAAAGGAUAGAAGGGCUUAUCCACAUCUUAAGGACUGCAUCGGCGCACUAG